This 468-nucleotide ribosomal RNA is filed under the name uncultured bacterium. RNAcentral describes it as "partial 16S ribosomal RNA". It matches the Rfam family "Bacterial small subunit ribosomal RNA", at positions 28 to 507 of the family's 1533-position model. The record is from RNAcentral.
GACGAACGCUGGCGGCGUGCUUAACACAUGCAAGUCGAACGGAAAGGCCCUGCUUUUGUGGGGUGCUCGAGUGGCGAACAGGUGAGUAACACGUGAGUAACCUGCCCUUGACUUUGGGAUAACUUCAGGAAACUGGGGCUAAUACCGGAUAGGAGCUCCUGCUGCAUGGUGGGGGUUGGAAAGUUUCGGCGGUUGGGGAUGGACUCGCGGCUUAUCAGCUUGUUGGUGGGGUAGUGACUUACCAAGGCUUUGACGGGUAGCCGGCCUGAGAGGGUGACCGGCCACAUUGGGACUGAGAUACGGCCCAGACUCCUACGGGAGGCAGCAGUGGGGAAUAUUGCACAAUGGGCGGAAGCCUGAUGCAGCAACGCCGCGUGCGGGAUGACGGCCUUCGGGUUGUAAACCGCUUUCGCCUGUGACGAAGCGUGAGUGACGGUAAUGGGUAAAGAAGCACCGGCUAACUACGUG